Molecule: ribosomal RNA, 164 nt
Filed under: Ricinus communis (castor bean)
Lineage: Eukaryota; Viridiplantae; Streptophyta; Magnoliopsida; Malpighiales; Euphorbiaceae
Description: 5.8S ribosomal RNA
Rfam family: 5.8S ribosomal RNA
About the family: 5.8S ribosomal RNA (5.8S rRNA) is a component of the large subunit of the eukaryotic ribosome. It is transcribed by RNA polymerase I as part of the 45S precursor that also contains 18S and 28S rRNA.
Source: RNAcentral
AUAACGACUCUCGGCAACGGAUAUCUCGGCUCUCGCAUCGAUGAAGAACGCAGCAAAAUGCGAUACUUGGUGUGAAUUGCAGAAUCCCGUGAAUCAUCGAGUUUUUGAACGCAAGUUGCGCCCGAAGCCUUUCGGCCGAGGGCACGCCUGCCUGGGUGUCACGC